AAUUGGUUAAAGAUGCUAACUGCUGAACAGAAGAAGGUAUAUGAUGGAAUAAUGGAUGUUGUCCUUAAUGACAAAUGAGGUGU
This 83-nucleotide small RNA is filed under the name Arabidopsis thaliana (thale cress). RNAcentral describes it as "ATSL193260". Lineage: Eukaryota; Viridiplantae; Streptophyta; Magnoliopsida; Brassicales; Brassicaceae. The record is from RNAcentral.